GAACACAGGUGCUGCAUGGCUGUCGUCAGCUCGUGUCGUGAGAUGUUGGUUAAGUCCGCAACGAGCGCAACCCUCCAUUGUUAGUUACUACCAUUCAGUUGAGGACUCUAAUGAGACUGCCAACGACAAGUUGGAGGAAGGUGGGGAUGACGUCAAAUCAUCAUGCCCUUUAUGACCUGGGCUACAAACGUACUACAAUGGCCAAUACAAAGAGAUGCGAAGCGGUGACGUGGAGCGAACCUCAGAAAGUUGGUCUCAGUUCAGAUUGAAGUCUGCAACUCGACUUCAUGAAGGCGGAAUCGCUAGUAAUCGCGGGUCAGCAGACCGCGGUGAAUACGUUCCCGGGUUUU
Molecule: ribosomal RNA, 350 nt
Filed under: uncultured Mollicutes bacterium
Lineage: Bacteria; Bacillati; Mycoplasmatota; Mollicutes
Description: bacterial SSU rRNA
Rfam family: Bacterial small subunit ribosomal RNA
Source: RNAcentral